UGAAAAUAUUAUUAAAAUUUUUCAAUUUUAAUUCGUUAACAAAAUUUCACUUACAAUUGUCACAAUACAUGGUUAAUUAUUUAAUCGAUUCGAAGAGAAACCAGGACGCGAACACUUGUAAUUGCCGAUCUACCGAGGUCUCUAGGAAGGAUCUUAAGACGAUCUCUUUUCUCUCUUACGUAUGUCCUUCUUCGUCUCGCUACUUUUAUAACCGAGAUAACAAGCGAUCCAAAAUUCUCGAUUUAAAUUCUUGAAAGGAAACACGACAGUGGCCUCGUAUUUCGUUAAAAUGUCAUUCAUCGUUUUAUAAGAAUUAUCAAUGAUAUUGUAUAUUUUCAAACGACGUAGUAAGUGCACAAGUAAAGAAAAAAUAAAAAAAAAAAUCGUGACGAGCUUCCAUUAGGAUUUCAUAAAUUCUUCGAAAGUAAUUUGAUUAUAAUUAAGUGAGAACGCAAAAAUAAUUGAGGAUUAAGAAAAUACGGGAUUAGAUAGAAUUAAAAUAUUUUGUAAUAUUGCAUAUAGGAUUUUUCAUCUUCUUAGAAGCACUUCAUUUUUUAGUUGAGUUACUUUAAUACUUUCAUUGCGUGUUAUCUUUAUUUACAAUCUAUGAGAGAUAAUACAUUUUGAAGAUCACAAGGGAAAUAAAUGUAACAGGAUAUCAUCGUCGUUAGCCUUCAAACUAUUCGAUGUAAAAUGAAUGUUCAUGAAAAGUUCAGUAUACGUCUUGUUCACGUAAUCGUCAUCUCCUUUUAUUGAUGCGUUUGAUGUAAUUUAUUGCCAUGCUUGAGAAAUCGAUUAACAUUAUCCAUCUAAUACGAUUUUCCAUUCGAAUGUUUUAUUAUUAAGCAUCGAUCGAGAUAGAAGAAUCUGGAAAAUCGCAGUUAUCCAAUAUACCCUACAAUGUUGUCCAACGUUUGCAACGAUUUCCCGACACAGAGGGCGGCGAUUCCUUGAGGCGAUUCUUAGUUGUUCAUCGUCUUGUUCUGUUCACUGGAGACGGGAGCAGAACUCGAACUGGGUCAGGGCAGCGCGCCAAAUGGUUGGAUCAAUUUUAUUUUAAAUUUAUCAAGUCCGCUUCGACUCCAUGGACACGCGUGAUCAGUUCAGAUUUCCAGACUGUGCAUACCGAUUAAAAUGGGGAAAUAUACAUGGGAUAAGUAAUAACGGAGAACCACUGAAACUAUGUGAGUCAGGCAGAAUAAGGUCCAAUAUAAGGCCCUGAGGUGAUUCGCCUAGACGGCCAUGACCAUAUUACAGGCCAAAGGCCCCUGAUACCAUCUAUACUUCCAGUAACAAUUGAUGAAA
Apis dorsata (giant honeybee) is the source of this 1305-nucleotide RNA transcript. RefSeq lists it as uncharacterized. The transcript has 3 exons. The record is from RefSeq and is a predicted model, not a curated record. Lineage: Eukaryota; Metazoa; Arthropoda; Insecta; Hymenoptera; Apidae.